Long non-coding RNA from Cavia porcellus (domestic guinea pig), 580 nucleotides. RefSeq lists it as uncharacterized. The transcript is spliced from 4 exons. The record is from RefSeq and is a predicted model, not a curated record. NCBI's taxonomy places the organism in Eukaryota, Metazoa, Chordata, Mammalia, Rodentia, Caviidae.
CAUCCCUAUCACUCAGGACUGCAAAGUCAGGCUGCACUGAAACAACCUAAGGAAGAAUUCAGACCCCUGUUGUCCAAACACACGCAGACAGCACACACAAGUAGAAGAUCCUACAUCUGCUUGUUUUCCGUGGACAAAGCCCUCCCUUUCCCUGAGUAUGUGUGUGAAACAAUCUUUGCAGCUACAGAGCGGCCCGAUGGUAUUGAUCCAGAUGUGGAAAUUGGUAUUGACUGCUGUUGCUGCCCCGUGCACUUCUCCGGCUUUUAAAGACACAGCGUAGAGGACUCAUACGACCACUUUGGUCAGAAAAAUUCAGGAUCCCCUGUUACCAAGGUCCUGCAAUUUAAUCAAGCCUGAGAUGCCUCUUUUUGCUCCUUUGCUUUCUCAGAUCCCCUGCAGUCCUGAUUUUCCAGGUCCUUGCCCAAGCUGAGUCACCAUCAACAGCAACUAAAAGGAAAUCAAACCACUGAUUAGUGCACCGAAUAUUGCAAGGUCUGAGACAUCACUUGAAGAUUCUAGGCUCCCUUCUUUUCAGCCUUAAAACUAAAAGAAAAAAAAAAUAAAACUCUAAAAGAAGACA